RNAcentral lists this ribosomal RNA (851 nucleotides) under uncultured bacterium. Its description in RNAcentral is "bacterial SSU rRNA". It matches the Rfam family "Bacterial small subunit ribosomal RNA", at positions 58 to 916 of the family's 1533-position model. The record is from RNAcentral.
CAAGUCGAGCGAGGUCCAUUCGGUGGUAACACUGAUGAAGACCUAGCGGCGAACGGGUGAGUAACACGUGAGCAACCUGCCCCGAAGUUCGGGAUAACCCGGGGAAACCCGAGCUAAUACCGGAUACCUUCCUUUGGUCGCAUGGCUAUUGGAGGAAAGAUUUAUCGCUUCGGGAGGGGCUCGCGGCCCAUCAGCUAGUUGGUGAGGUAACGGCUCACCAAGGCAUCGACGGGUAGCUGGUCUGAGAGGACGAUCAGCCACACUGGGACUGAGACACGGCCCAGACUCCUACGGGAGGCAGCAGUGGGGAAUCUUGCGCAAUGGGCGAAAGCCUGACGCAGCAACGCCGCGUGCGAGAGGAAGGCCUUAGGGUUGUAAAUCGCUUUCGGCAGGGACGAAAUUGACGGUACCUGCAGAAGAAGCCCCGGCCAACUACGUGCCAGCAGCCGCGGUAACACGUAGGGGGCGAGCGUUGUCCGGAUUUAUUGGGCGUAAAGAGCUCGUAGGCGGCUCAGUAAGUCUGCUGUUAAAGCUCCAGGCUCAACCUGGAGAGGCCAGUGGAUACUGCUGUGGCUAGAGUCCGGUAGGGGAGCGUGGAAUUCCCAGUGUAGCGGUGGAAUGCGCAGAUAUUGGGAGGAACACCAGCGGCGAAGGCGGCGCUCUGGACCGGAACUGACGCUGAGGAGCGAAAGCGUGGGUAGCAAACAGGAUUAGAUACCCUGGUAGUCCACGCCGUAAACGUUGGGCACUAGGUGUGGGAUCCCGUCAACGGAUUCCGUGCCGUAGCUAACGCAUUAAGUGCCCCGCCUGGGGAGUACGGCCGCAAGGCUAAAACUCAAAGGAAUUGACGG